GCGCUCAUAGCUCAGCUGGAUAGAGCAGCUCACUUCUAAUGAGCAGGUCAUAGGUUCGAAUCCUAUUGGGCGUA
RNAcentral lists this transfer RNA (74 nucleotides) under Lentisphaera profundi. RNAcentral's name for it is "tRNA-Arg". It matches the Rfam family "tRNA". Rfam says of the family: Transfer RNA (tRNA) molecules are approximately 80 nucleotides in length. Their secondary structure includes four short double-helical elements and three loops (D, anti-codon, and T loops). Further hydrogen bonds mediate the characteristic L-shaped molecular structure. tRNAs have two regions of fundamental functional importance: the anti-codon, which is responsible for specific mRNA codon recognition, and the 3' end, to which the tRNAs corresponding amino acid is attached (by aminoacyl-tRNA synthetases). tRNAs cope with the degeneracy of the genetic code in two manners: having more than one tRNA (with a specific anti-codon) for a particular amino acid; and 'wobble' base-pairing, i.e. permitting non-standard base-pairing at the 3rd anti-codon position. The record is from RNAcentral. Lineage: Bacteria; Pseudomonadati; Lentisphaerota; Lentisphaeria; Lentisphaerales; Lentisphaeraceae.